GUCCAGGGAUGGAAAUCGAAUCCACAGUGUUCCAUUUACCAGUCAGAUGCCAUGUCCACUAGGCUACCCUGGA
This 73-nucleotide transfer RNA is filed under the name Cordylochernes scorpioides. RNAcentral describes it as "tRNA-Thr". The record is from RNAcentral. Lineage: Eukaryota; Metazoa; Arthropoda; Arachnida; Pseudoscorpiones; Chernetidae.